GGUCGGUUAGCUUAGUCGGUAGAGCAUACGCCUAAUAUCCAGCUGGAUAGUACAGCGUAAGGUCGAGGGUUCGAUCCCCUCACGGAUCA
Non-coding RNA from Naganishia onofrii, 89 nucleotides. The record is from the annotation of a GenBank genome assembly. NCBI's taxonomy places the organism in Eukaryota, Fungi, Basidiomycota, Tremellomycetes, Filobasidiales, Filobasidiaceae.